This 67-nucleotide transfer RNA is filed under the name Brunneifusus ternatanus. RNAcentral's name for it is "tRNA-His". It matches the Rfam family "tRNA". From Rfam's summary of the family: Transfer RNA (tRNA) molecules are approximately 80 nucleotides in length. Their secondary structure includes four short double-helical elements and three loops (D, anti-codon, and T loops). Further hydrogen bonds mediate the characteristic L-shaped molecular structure. tRNAs have two regions of fundamental functional importance: the anti-codon, which is responsible for specific mRNA codon recognition, and the 3' end, to which the tRNAs corresponding amino acid is attached (by aminoacyl-tRNA synthetases). tRNAs cope with the degeneracy of the genetic code in two manners: having more than one tRNA (with a specific anti-codon) for a particular amino acid; and 'wobble' base-pairing, i.e. permitting non-standard base-pairing at the 3rd anti-codon position. Lineage: Eukaryota; Metazoa; Mollusca; Gastropoda; Neogastropoda; Melongenidae. The record is from RNAcentral.
GUCAAGUUAGUUUACUAUAAAACGUCAGCCUGUGGAUUUGAAAAUGAAAAUUAUUCUUCACUUGACC